This is an RNA transcript of Panicum virgatum (switchgrass), 2711 nucleotides long. It is a transcript of the gene named MAGE-like protein 2, with no coding region annotated. The record is from RefSeq and is a predicted model, not a curated record. Lineage: Eukaryota; Viridiplantae; Streptophyta; Magnoliopsida; Poales; Poaceae. The transcript is spliced from 5 exons.
GGCGCAACGAUGCGCCCUCCUCCCCGGUCUUUUUUUUUUUGAAAAGUCCUCCUCCCCGGUCUCCCUCCACGGCUCGCGCAUGAGGCCUCCUCGCGCAUCGCCCCGCCGCAUCCGCCUCUCCGCCGCCCCCAAACCGCCGCUCCGGCCCCGCAAUCCGCCGCGCCGCCACCCCAAUCCGCCGCUCCAGCACCCAAUCCGGCCCACGACGGCCCUCAUCCGCCGCGGGGGUACAUGCCACCGCGCAUUCCCUCCCCUCCAGAAGCUCGGUCCGGCCUCGAUCCGCCGCCGGCUCCUUGCUCCGCCCGGUGAGCCGUCCCCCGUGGUUGCUUCCCCAUACUCCGUGGGCCUGGAUCCGCGAGGCCGGCGACCCUCGUGCUCCGUUGCGUGCCCCUUCCUCUGUUCACUGGCACCGGCCCCCCUCUCCAUCCGGCCCCCAUGCGCCCUUCAACCCCCUCCGCCGCGGCGCCCCCGUUGGUCGUUGCAUCGGCCACCAUCCUCGUCGGGUCGGCCCGGAUCCACUCUUUGGCAGCACGGCUGUACUCCCGUAUGCAGCACGCCGCCUCCGUUGCCGCUCCCAUUUGCGCCGCCGCCGGCCUCACCUGCCAUCCGGCCCCCUAGGCCGCUUGCCGCCUGCCAUCCCCCCGCAAUGCCACUUUUUCAGGGCCGCCCCAUGGCCGGAGGAGGGGAGGACCCCUUCCGUACCUACUCCCAGCCGGACCCCCGGUUUGCCUCCGGGUAUUACCCCUUGUUCCCCUCUUCUUGGACCCAACCGGGGGCCGCCGGAGGCAGCCAACCGCAACCGCAUGGGUUCUCCGGAGCCAUGAAUGCGCCGUCCCAUGCCUUUUCUGGGUACGACCAGAACGCCCUGUUCUUCGCCUCGUCCGCUAGCGCAACGGCGGCCGCCGGAGGCAUGGCUGGCCCGGCGCAUGGGUACUCAGGGUACGGCCUCACCUCGGGGUUCUUCGAAUUAGCCCCACACGCUGGGUACGCCCCAUUGCAGAACCCGCAAGGCAUUCGACAUCCUCCCCGGCACCAUGGCAAGGUGGCCCCUAUGCAUCCCUUCCGCCGAUUCCGAGGCCUCCAGUUCCGAGCUCAUACGGAGGUUAUGACGAGGGCAGUAGUAGGUAUGCCCCUGUUGACAUGGCACCGCCCCCCCCCACACCCAUGGUAUGCGCCGCCUAUGGGCGAUGAUCCCGCUUCGUCUGCAGUACCUGGACAUCCAAGGACCCGAAGCCAGUCACGCAGGCAGGCCGUGUCCCCCGUUGCUGAUCGGUCUACCAACGACGAUUCAAUGGCAUCGGAUGGUGGCGACGAUGACUUGUCCUUGGCCUCCAGUAGUGGUGACAAUGCAGGAUUUAUUGGAAACGCUGCAGGCGUGCAAGAAGACGAAGGCGACGUGGACAGCUCGGGAUCCGAAGCGGACGACAGCAGUUCCGAAGGAGAAUCAAGUUGGGGAAGUGAAGGUAACUCCAGUUCUGAGGUUUAUGAAGAGUUGUACAAGGAUUGGGAAGAAUUGUUUGGAAAAGAAAAUCCUGUGUUCAAGGGCAUGAAGAUUGUCAUGGAGAGUACGAGGAUGACAACUAAACUUAUGAAGAAGGCCAUCGUUCUAGCACGCCAGCUCCACGCGGCCGCAGAUUCCCGGCCCGCCUCCUCCAGCACGCCAUACGGCUGCAGCGUCCUCCCUCCCGCUGUGACGCGGAACGCGCUAAGGAGCUCGACGGCGAUGCGCGUGCAGGCGACCUCCACGACGAUGGCGACGGGGUGGUGCUGGUGGAGAACGUGGUGCGCCAGCCGCACGCCGCGCUCCCGCGGGUGCAUCGCCCAUAGCACCAUCAGGCCGCACUCGACCUGCCUCCCUCUCUUGCUCGCCUCCGGUUCUCCUCCUCCCGAGCUAGCACACUAAACAGCUCACCCCCGACUCCCUGAAGCCUCUUCCCUACCUCAUCUGUUGGUGGAGAAGCUGCAUGGUGACACUUCAAAUGAAUGACACCCAGCCGCCCACCAACCACUCGGGAAAUGCCUCCAAGGCAAUGUGUUACCUGGACAACAUCCUCAGGAGUUGUAGCAACUAAUGUACACGGACAUCUAGAUAAAUCCGAUAUUAUUUUCCUGCUAUCUAGUUAUUUCUAAUGCAGGAACAAGUCAUACAAAAAAAAAAGCUGAAAGCACAUACAUUGGCCACUGUACUACCCAUUUCUUCCAAGUUUUGUGGAAUAGCUAUGUGUGUCAUUUGUGCUCUGAUUGAUUCAAGUUCUGAAGAUGAGAGUCCCAACAGCUGACAGUAUCAUAAGGCGUGGAGGGCAAGCGAUUCUGAUCUAUCAGUUGUGUCAAGCAAGGGAUGAAUCGACAAUGCACCUUAUGGCCAAGUGCUCAUAUGGAGAACAAGUGUGGAACAUGGUGGCGGCACGAAUCAACCGGUGAUUCCCCAACUUAAUGAUGUGCACCAAAUCAAAGAAUGGUGGGCUGGAAUGACUACUGCAAACAACCUGCAAUCACACUUGCACGUCAUCAUAUACACAGCAUAGAUUCUACAGAUAGGAGCAGGGUUAUUCGACUGACUAUGUAUAGAUAGAUUGUACUUUUGUGCAUAAUCUUGUUUUCUCUCGCUUACCCAAAUUGUAAAUACUUUGCUUCCUACUAUAAUGAAAGAGCAGAGCACCUGUUAUUUUCCUCAAAUAAAAAACUUCUGAUGAAGAGGUUGCUACUGCCUA